RNAcentral lists this ribosomal RNA (512 nucleotides) under Candida albicans. RNAcentral describes it as "eukaryotic LSU rRNA". The stretch from base 144 to 297 matches the Rfam family "5.8S ribosomal RNA". The record is from RNAcentral. Lineage: Eukaryota; Fungi; Ascomycota; Pichiomycetes; Serinales; Debaryomycetaceae.
GGGAAACUGAGUGCUUAUUGCACCACAUGUGUUUUUCUUUGAAACAAACUUGCUUUGGCGGUGGGCCCAGCCUGCCGCCAGAGGUCUAAACUUACAACCAAUUUUUUAUCAACUUGUCACACCAGAUUAUUACUAAUAGUCAAAACUUUCAACAACGGAUCUCUUGGUUCUCGCAUCGAUGAAGAACGCAGCGAAAUGCGAUACGUAAUAUGAAUUGCAGAUAUUCGUGAAUCAUCGAAUCUUUGAACGCACAUUGCGCCCUCUGGUAUUCCGGAGGGCAUGCCUGUUUGAGCGUCGUUUCUCCCUCAAACCGCUGGGUUUGGUGUUGAGCAAUACGACUUGGGUUUGCUUGAAAGACGGUAGUGGUAAGGCGGGAUCGCUUUGACAAUGGCUUAGGUCUAACCAAAAACAUUGCUUGCGGCGGUAACGUCCACCACGUAUAUCUUCAAACUUUGACCUCAAAUCAGGUAGGACUACCCGCUGAACUUAAGCAUAUCAAUAAGGCGGGAGGA